AGACCCAUGCAUGACCUUUUACUGUCAGCGUCAAACAGUCAGGGCAAACCGAGUUACCAGAGUUUAAAUACUGAGCAUAAGUGCCUAGUUACUUAAUUUUGAUGAGACUAUGGCCUCAGAACCAUGAAAACUACUCACGCAUAUCGCCAGAAGUUAGUUUCAGGUCAUUUAGACUGAGACUGGGUUCAAAAAGAAUGUGCAUAUGAUAGGCCAAGUCUAGGCUUUAGAAAGAGUACGGAAGAGAUUUAUCUGGAUAUUACCACAGAUGAAAGACUUCGGUUACGAGAUGUUGGAAUGGUGAACCAAGUUCUGUUCAGAACAGAGGAGUUUUAGAGGAGUACAUAAAAGAUCACAUUUUCGCCAGAGGCUUCUAUUUUGAACAAAAGCAGCACUACCCAUGUUUUGUCAUACUACGUGACUAUAAGCAUGAAGUUGCAAAAUGGGCCCUUUCAGUGGUAUUAUUUAAAAAGACCAGGAAACUAAAUUCAAGAACAUGUGAAGCCAGCUUUUAUUACACAUUCCUAACUGCCCUUGAGAAAUUGGCAGUGAGCCACCUGACUCUCUGCACUCCAAGUUGUGUGGAUACAACCUGACUGAAAGAGUUCCAGGAUUCUGACCCUGCAAUGAUGAAGAUGCAACGAUAUACGGCCAUGUCAGAAGUGUGACUUGCAAAGCAACUUUCAGGUGGGUUCUUUAUUUAAACUCCUCCACUCCACCCCAUAUGUGCACACACACACACACCCUACUGCUCUUUCCUUUCAAGUAAUGGUCACAGGUUUGGGGGUUGCUGUCAAAAAAAAGCCUUGAUGAGCUACAUAAACAUAAUCAGAUGGUAUUCAUUACAGCUAGUAUAUGCCAUGACUGGGAGAAUUAAGGUUUAAGGAGGUGGCUGGGGUGCUUAGCAAGCAGAAUGUCUUAGCUCUAUCUUAAGUGAUGGUAAGCUUCUUCAGUGUUAGUGAAGGUGCACUCAUCCACAUAAAUGGAGAAUAUUCCAUCACACUCCUGACUUGAUCCUUAUAGAUGGUAAGCUUUGGGGAGUCAGAUAGUGAGCCAUUGCUUCAGAAUUCCCAGUCUCUGGCUUGCUCUUGUAUCCUCUGUACUUGUAUGGCUGGGUCAGUUUCUGGACCGUCUCAAACUCCUCCCUACCCUCCUAGACCUUUCCAUUUCUAUCUCGGGUGACCGAAUCGACAUGGAAACAAAAUUUGGAUCAGUUUCUAGUCAAUGGUGAUACCCAGAAUGUUUACGGUGGGCGGCUCAAUGGUGAUAAUUUCCCUAGUUUCCUAACUGUCAGUGGUAGAGCAGAACGUUGCAACAGUGGGGACAGUGAAAACAGUGUUGUACUGCAUUCAAGAGCAUGUAACACAAACAGCAAUCAGUAGGAAAUUGCAGAGCUCGUCUGCAUUGUUUGCUUAUUCCAUUUUAUGCAAGCUGGAAAAACUUCAAAGAGAAACAUAAAUUGAGCCAAAAGUAUUGAGAUCACAGAUAAUUUUCAAACUCUUAAACAAAACUUAAACAAGGAAUUAGCAAGGCUAAAAGGGGUCAUGUAAUGUCCUUGACAUGUAAGAUUAAGGAGGCAUUUUAUACAUCUACUAGGAACAAGAGGGAAAGGAGAGGCCCACUCAAGGAUAAAGGAGGGAACUUAUGCAUGGAGAAAGUGGGUGAGGUCCUUAAAGAGUACGUCACAUCAGUAUUCACAAGGAGAAAGAUGGAUGAUGGUAAGGUUACAGAGGAGUAUGUUGAAAAUCUAGGGCAUGUCAAUAUUAAGGAGGAGGUUGUGUUGGGUGGUCUUCUAAAACAUUAAGGUAAGUCCCAGGACCUGAUGUAAUCUAUCCCAGAAUAGCACUUUUGAUACGUCCUUGGUGUUAAUGCCACCAGUUCUGAAUGUGUCUAUCACAUGUUGAAUCAGCUAAUGGGAUGAUGCAAUUUCAGAAGAGUAUUCUACAACAAUCCUCGGAUUUUAAAGGUACAUUUUAAAUGAUUCAGUUGCAUAUCCUAAACUCAUUGUGUGCAGCCCAGUCUAGUAUGGUGACCAGCUUAUUUCUGACACAGAAGGAGCCUAUAGACGAUAUGUGCCACACUGUACACAUUUCUAGACUUCUGUUUGCAUAAGUAGGACAUUGUAGUCCAAUGCAGCUAAGCAAUGUAAUUUCUGGAUGAUACAAAUGGUCAUGCCUAAUGUAUUUACAAAAUCAACUUGUUUUUUUUAAAAGAAAGGGGAUAUCAUAGAAUCCCAACUGUGUGGAAGUAGGACACUCGGCCCGAGUCCACCGACCCUCUGAACAGCAUCCUACCUAGAGGCACCCUAAACCUGUCAC
Chiloscyllium plagiosum (whitespotted bambooshark) is the source of this 2315-nucleotide non-coding RNA. The record is from RefSeq and is a predicted model, not a curated record. Lineage: Eukaryota; Metazoa; Chordata; Chondrichthyes; Orectolobiformes; Hemiscylliidae.